Octopus bimaculoides (California two-spot octopus) is the source of this 4228-nucleotide long non-coding RNA. Lineage: Eukaryota; Metazoa; Mollusca; Cephalopoda; Octopoda; Octopodidae. The record is from RefSeq and is a predicted model, not a curated record.
CGAAACUGCUGGCCUUGUACCAAAAUUGGAAACCAAUAAUAUGUUAAGGGAAGACGGCCAGCUAGCAACCGGGGAAAUGCUAAGCGGCACUUCACUCACCCGUCAUUAUGUUCUGAGUUCAAAUCCCGCCGAUAUCGACUUUGCCUUUCAUCCUUUCGAUGCCGAUAAAAUAAGUACCAGUUGAGCGCUGGCGAGUCAAUGUAAUGGACUUACCUUUUCCCCCAAGCUUGCUGGCCUUGUGCCAAACUGGGAAACCAACAGUAUGUUAAGGAGCGGUUGGAAUUCGCUUGACAUCUGCUUGCUUUCGGAUAUCCUAUUGCACAACACUUUGAACAAAUACUUUCUCCCAUUGUUUCAAGUAGCCUAAACUCUUGUCAACGAAAUUUAGUAAAUGGAAAUUAUCUGGAAGCCCAUCGAAAGAGUUUUCCUUUUCCCCGUGUGUUAUAUUCAAUCAUUCGUCCGAUUUAACACCACCACCACCACCAGCAUACUCUAUUCUGGUGUAAUCAUCAGCUAGUUUCCAGUCCGAAUAUAAUUUCCAUUCUCACCAACAUCAGAGACAACGAAAAGAAUAACGGGCAUUGCACUUUUGGCUGAACCGUUAAAUAUCUAACCGAUAAAACGCUGGGAUUUGCAUUUACAUAGCAUGGACUCCUGAGCACAUUUCAUGAAAAUGAGACUACCAUGCACACAUAAAAAAAAAAUAGUUAAAAUAUCUUCUCAGUAUAUAAUGGUGGCAAGUUUGAGUGACAUGAGACCCCAACAAACGCCCAUAAGUUAAAUGCAUCUAUUUGGGCCACCAUCGUGGCCUGUCGACCUGUGUCGAACGGCUACGAUCGUGGCCCAUCGCGCUUUAUGUGUUAAUUUCAAACAAUCAAACGUUGAACGAAAUCAAUGUUCAUGAAUAAAAAAAGAAAAAACACUUUAUAAUAACGAAAUUCAAACCAAGUAGAUUAAGGCGUACAUGAAAUAUAUGCUGAAGGAAAGAAUAUUUCCGGGACAAAAGUUGUUAUCUGUCGAGUAGACGAGAGGAAAUCAGAUUUCAUUACAAGAGAGUAACACACUCAAUUAAAAGUCUCAGUAAAUAAAGAGGAGAGAAUAUACGACAUAAAAUUGAAAAUAUAUUACAACAAAAGUUUUUUUUAAGAUAGGCACAAGGCCUGAAAUUUUGGGGAAGGAACUUAAUCAAUUGCAUCGACCCUAGUGCUCAUCUGGCACUGAUUUUGUCGACCCUGGAGGAAUUUGAACUCAGAGCGUAACGGCAGACGAAAUACCGCUAAACAUUUCGCCCAAUGUACCAAUGAUUCUUCCAGCUCGCCGCCUUAGCAGCAAUAAUAAUAAUAAUAAUAAAUUGCCCGGAUGCAGUACCAGGCAGUGGCUCUCAUGGCUUCUGAUCUUAAUUGAUUGGAAGUGUUAUGUACAUUGUUUUGUCUUGGUAUAAAAAGAUGGGCUACAGCAAAUAUUCUGGUUAAUACCACAGAUUUGCUUGUCAGUUGUUUGAUCUUAACCAAUUGAGCUUGUCCCUUGGUGGCUGACGAUAUAUGCAUCUCUGAUCAUGAGCAGAAGUAGUGGGGGAGCAUCAUAGCCAUGUGUUGAGAGGAGUUCUUUGCGGUUUGAAUAAUUCACCUCUGGAAACAUGGGUGUUUUGCUCAACAUCCUUAAACAACCCUUAUUCAGGGACCUUUUGAACGGAAUGGGCUACUCGACCUGAAGAAAAUUCUAACUGGGCCCCACCUGCGAGGUCAUGCGCUGUUUAUCAUGAUAUGAGAUCACCAUGUCAUGCACAUAUGGUUGUGAUGCAUGUGCCUGAUGUACUCUUAUCAGACGGGUAGUCAUGAUGGGUGUAUUGGGUUUCGUAUAUUUUACCCCAGUGUCACUUUGAUGGUAUGCACUGCUCUCUCACUCAAUAAUAAUAAUAAUAAUAAUAAUAAUAAUAACCUUUUCUAGUGGAAGCACAAGGCCUCAUAUUUGGGGGAAGGGACUGAGUCGAUUACAUCGACCCCAGUGCAUAGACGAUACUUAUUUGAAAGGAUGAAAGGCAAUCUCGACCUCGGCGGAAAAAAAAAAAAAAAAAUCUCUCUUGAGUACGAAAUAACCCGGCUAUGGAAAAUGAAGAGGGUGAAGAUAGUGCCAAUUAUUGUUGGGUCCUUGGGAUCAGUAUCAGAAGGCAUCAAGAGGAAUAUAAAGGAAAUUGGAACAGUGUACCCGGUAGAACUGUUACAGAAAUGGUUUGCCUCCUUGGCACGGCCAGAAUAAUCAGGAAAAUAUUAGUUAGUUGAAAAGAACGGAUAGCAUGGUACCGUAGGUUGCAGGCAGCAAGCCCGCUAUGCAUGCAAGACUCCAAGAGUUCCAACAAAACCUAAGAUAAAAAGAAAAAAAAAUUAGUUCAAAUCUAAGGACACUGGACUGGCAGAAUCGUUAUAAUGUUAGAUAAAUAUACCUUGCGGUAUUUCGCGUGGUUCUUUACAUUCUGGGUUCAAAUCACACCGAAGUCAUGUUUGUUUUUCAUCCUACUAAGAUUGAUAAAAAAUACCAAUCAAGCACUGGGGUAUGUGAUAUCGACAAAGCCCACCCCCUCGCAAAAUGCUGGCUUUGUAAUCUACAUUAAAAAUGAUUCGGAUCGAAUACUGGCGGUAUUUGUUUCGACUCUGUACAUUCUGAGUUCGAAUCCCAGGCUAAGGUCAUCUUUGACCCCCCCCCCAUCCUUUAAAGAUCAAUAAUCUUUUCUACUCUAGGCACAAAGCCUGAAAUUUUGGGGGAGGCAGCCAGUCGUUAAAUCGACCCCAGUACGCAACUGGUACUUAAUUUAUCGACCCCCGAAAGGAUGAAAGGCAAAGUCGAUCUCGGCGCAAUUUGAACUCAGAACGUAAAGGCAGACGAAAUACCGCGAAGCAUUUCGCUCAGCGUGCUAACGCUUCUUAUUUUUUUAUUGCCCAGAAGGGGCUGAACAUAGAGGGGACAAACAAGGACAGACAAAGGGAUUAAGUCGAUUACAUCGACCCCAGUGCGUAACUGGUACUUAAUUCAUCGAUACAGAAAGGAUGAAAGGCAAAGUCGACCUCGGCGGAAUUUGAACUCAGAACGUAACAGCAGACGAAAUACCAAUUUCAAUUUCUUUCUUACCCACCGGGGGCUAAACAAAGAAUGGGACAAAACAACUAAUUGGGGUCAGUAACACGUUAUGAUAUUACAUAAAUAUGAUAUAAAAAUUAUAUAAAAUAUAUAAGAAUCGAAUGAAAUACACAAUACGAAUAUGACACAAAUGCAGCAACGGUCAGGUCACGCUCUGACCCCAUAAGGCCCAAUCUAUCGCUGGUACUUCUUUCUAUAUAUAUAAAUGCGUACAUAUACAAACAUACAUGCAUGUAUACAUACAUUCACACACACAUUGUUCGUAUAUAUUUUUUGAAGCAAUCAAUGUCUUACUGUUUAUUGGGUUAAUAAGUUAUGUGUGGCCGAAUGCUGCGUAAACAAGUUGUUAACCUUCAUUUCAAACGUUUAACUUCUUGAAAACAGUGUACAAAUGGUGUUUGUUAAGAGUCGCUGUAAGCACACACAGACACACACACACACACAAGUUCCGUUGCAAGCCCCACCUCCAACAAGUAUUGCGAUAUAUAAAAGAAGAACGUCAGAGAAACACUUGACAGAACAGAUUUGCCGAGGUUAAGCGAACAUUAAACUGUAAAAAGUAAACAACGACUUUCCACUCGUUCCUUGCUGCUAUUAAUUCUAUCGGCGUCAAGAAUCGGUAAAGUUGAUGAUGACUGAUUUCUUUGUGGCGAACUACAUGGACGAAUACGACGUAAUGAGCAUGUACCGUGACCAAUACAUCCAUGUUGGCCACAGUGGUAAAGGUCGAUCAAAGAAAGAAGCCAGAGAACAUACCAACAGACAUGAUCCUAAUGGCCAUAACCGCAAAACCUUACAGAAACUCAUGAAUAACAGUUAUAAGAACAGAGCACGAUCGAAUGCCAAGUAAGUCUUAUAGAUUUCAUUUAAAUAUCGAUCUUUUUAUUGCGAAUCUGUUAUGGAAUUAACAAUAAUUGAAAUAAGACAUAACUGAAAUAAUUAGCUGCAGUUCUAUGUAAGAAAAAGAUAGCUAUGGCUAUAUUCUAAAAUAUCUAAACUAUAAUAUAUGCAGUUAUUUCACAUGCUAAGAAAAAUAGUACUUUAAUUCCCUUAUACCACACCCUCCUGAAUUAAAAGGGAGAGACACACUGGGCCU